AAGGCCAAUCCUGGACCAUCAGUGACAACUGGUGGCUUGUGUGGUUGUAUAUGCUGGUUGUAUAUGAGGAAUAGUACGUAUCAGAAACUUUGAGGUCCAACACAAAUAGAGUCUAGUCUAUUCCCAUGUUUAAAGUGAUAUGAUAGACAGAUACCUGAAAUAUACAAGGAGUUUGUGGUUAGUCUUGUAUGUAUGAGUUUUAAAGAUAUGGUAAAAGUAGCACUGGCAGAAUAAGCAAAUAAAUGUGCAAGUAAAAUAAAUAAAACGAAGAGGACAAAGCAUUGUUCAUUGCUAAAAUAUGCAGUAAGGAAAAUACUGUUAGUGUACAUUGGAAUGGAUAAUAAGUGGAUAAUAUUUCUGACUCAAAAUGAUAGAGACAAUAGUAAUAAUUACUCAUAAGAGCCAGUGACUGCCCCAAGUCAAUUACAAGUUUGAAGUUUAUAAGAAGAAAAAUAAAUCAAUAUUACAUAAAUUAAUAAAUACCUAAAUGACUAGCUGAAUGAAAGAAAUUACAGAUGAAUGGACAGAAUAUCUCAAACUUUUUAUCAUGAUCUCCACCUAGAACCCUUCAGUGAAGAUGCUGUUUGCUGAUUUGAGCACUCUGCAAUUGAUCAAGUUUCUCAUGUUAACUCCGUUCCAAAAGAGACCCGUGUGAAUAUAGUCAAUGUUCUUGUCUCGGUUUCAGUUGUUUGACAGUAUUCGUGGUAUUAUUGAAAAAUUAUUAAUCAAAUAGCUGUUUAUGGCUCGAUAAUAAUGUGAAAUAUGAUGUUGAUUAAUCAUUAAUGUUGACAUCAUUAAAUGAAAAAGAUGUAUAUAGGAAAUGGUUGUAUUGAUAGCUGUGAGCACUAUUCUAGCAUUUGUUUUUCACAUUUUUCUGACUCACUCAUUGUCAGUGAAUCCGUGAUUCAGCAUCUGCAAAUGUAAGAUUGAAGAAAAAGUUGGCCAAUGAGUAUGCAUAGAACAAUGAUUACAGAUAGUGGCGCAGGAGUCAUGAACCAGGAGUAGUGUAUGUGUGGGACUCUGAGCAUCAGCACAAAACAUAGUUAGUCUAUUCCUUCUGUUCGGAAUAAUCCUACAGGCAGAUGUUUGGGGUACAUAAAGACCAUGUUCUUAUUUUAGAUUCUUAGAUUUAGAUUUCUUAGUAUUAAGGAAUUAAUGAUAGAACCAUUAAACAAAUAUAAGUCAAUAAAUAAAAUUGAAGAGAGUGCAGCAUUGUCCAGCUAUAAAAAUAUAUAGGGAGGCUAUCAAUAUUAUUAAUACAAGUAGAGAAAGCUAACAUCCAUUAAGAAAAUAUCAGAUCAAAGAUGUUCCCUCUUUCUUUGGCGUAAGAUCAUAUGGACACUAAUAGGAUCAAUUUUGUUGUUCUGAACCAAUUCUUCUAAGUCUGCAGUUGCCCCUUUUGUUAAGAGAAAAAACAUGUACUUCAUGGAAAAUUAUGAAUUACCUGAAUGAUUGAGUAAAUGAAAUGCAGAAAGCAGGAAUUAUAGAGGAUGAGGUGUCUGCUUUUAAAAAUAUCGACUCUGUUUUGUCUUCAUUAGAAUGGGUGCACUUGAGCCGAUUGGAAUAUUCCUCCUUUAUCGUUUGUUCUACGGUUGCGUCUAUUUGGUAGUAGCAUAGAGUAAUCAUUAAAAUUCUUCUCUUGGUUUGAGUGGUUAUUUCAAAAUAUCCAAUGAAUUACUAAAAAAGAUAUAAUAUAAUCAAAGAUGGCCAGUGAUGUUCUAGCAAUAAAUAUGGGAGUCGUGUGAAGCAUUAUAUUGAUAAUGCAUCUAUGAAAACUGAGGAUAAUGAAUGAAACAGCUAUAUCCAUAUUAGAAUGACUCAUUGUAGGGAUUAGGAAUCUCUAGGCUCUUGUUGGGAUUUCAUGAACCAUGAUUUUAAAAUUUAUGAUUAGUGGAUUACUAAAUUAAUAAGCAAUUAGAAGUGAAUGGAGAGAAAGAGCACCUGUCCUGUGGACGAUGAUGACUACUGGUGGCAUAUGAGUCAUCUUCAGUGAAUAUGUGUCUGGAACUCUGAGGUGCAUCACAAAAGAAAUCUACCCCAUUUCCUGUUUGAUACAAUUCUUUAGGCGGAUAUCACGAACAUAGAGUGGGUUUGUUUUUGGUCUUUGUACUCAUACAUUUUUAUUCUAUUUUUAUUAUUGGGUUAAUGUGAGAAUCAAUAAACAAAUAUAAACAGAAAUAAAGAUAUAUUAGGUGAAGUGUUGCCCAAUUAUAAAAAUAGGUGGUGAGGCAAGAAAUACUAUUAAUAUGUAUUGGAAAUAGUGAAGUUCAAAGAGAAUUAAAUGGUACGUGUCUGUCACUUCUUUGGCUAAUAAUGAUAUAGACAGGAUAUAUGAACACUGUAGACAGUGUUCGUGUUCUGGGUCAGUGGCAAAUUCAGAAUUGCUCAUCUUCUUAAGAGAAAGUGAAAUAAAUAUGCUGUACUCUAAAUGGUGGUAGCCUAAAUGACUAAAGAAAUGUAAAAAGCAAGGAUCAAUGGUGACAAUGUCUCAAAUUUGUUGUCAUCUUCUCUGCUCUGUACCCCUCAGAAUGGAUGUCCUUGUUCUGUCUUGAGAAUUCCUCUAUGGUCACAUGCUCUGUUUGCACCAUGCUUAGGAAGGAGCAUGUGGACCAAUAAUGAAUGGCUUGUGCUGAUUGAAGCGUUCUUCCCUGGUGACAUGCUGUGGCUGCCUCUUGAUUGGGAGCAUGCAGACCAAUAACGGCUGCAUUUUGUGGAUUUAAGGAUUCCUCCAAGGUCAUGUGCUCUACUUGCACCAUUUUUAGGAUGGAGCCUGGAGAUCUAUAAUGAGCAGCUUGUGCUAUAUUGAGGAUUCCUCCAUGAUCACGCGCCCCGUUUAUACACCAUGCUUGGAAAGGAGUGUACAGACCAAUAAUGGACGUGCUUGUGAUGAUUUGAAGAUGCCUCUGAGGUCACAUGCUCUGUUUGCACCAUGCUUAGGAAGGAGCAUACAGAUCAAUAAUGGAAAGACUUGCUCUGAUUUGAGGACUUCUUCAUGAUCACGUGUUCUGUUUGCACCAUGCUUAGGAAGGAGCAUGGGUACCAAUAAUAAACGCACUCCAGCUGGUCCUAUCGCUCCUUUUUCACGGUAAGCUCUGUGGUUGCAUCUGUGCAUGGCGUAUGGAGACCAGUGUGAGUGAUAGUCAAUGUUCUUGGUUUCAGUGUUUUUUAAAAAAGAUAUUUGUGGCAGUAUCAAGAAGUAUUAAAUAUAAUCAUUGAAGGUAAACUUUGGCCCAUUGGUAAAAAUGGAAUUAAUAUAAAGCACUAUGUUGUUUAAUGCAUAUAUAUAACAUUGGAUUUAAUUAAUGAAAACAUUGAAUUUAAUUAAUGAAAGAGGUGUAUUGCUUUUAGUAAUAAUGACAUAGACAGAUAUUAGAGCUAUUUAAGGAUUUUGCUCUCAAGUUUUUGUGGCUCUUAGGUAAUUAUUUUAUUGUUAGUGAACUGGUAAAUUAAUCAAUAAAAACACGUAGACAUGAAUUAAGAAAAUGAGGUCCAAGCUUGAGCCAGUGAUGACAGCUGGUGGCGUUUGAGUCAUGGAUGAUGAAUAUUAAGUGUCUGGAACUCUGAGAUUCAGUAUAAUAGAAAUCUAAUUUAUUCCUCUGUUGAAAAAAAUCCGUGAGAUAGAUAUUAGAGAUAUCAAGAGUUAUUUGCUUUCAAUAUUACGGUUCAUGAAUUGUGAUUAUAUUAAUAUCAAUGAAUCAGUGAAAGAAUCAAACAAAGAUUUAAAUGAUUAAACGUGAAGAGAGAGAGGCAUAUUCUAAUUGUUAACGUGUGGCAAGGAAAGAAAUACUAUUAAUUAAUUUGGAAUGGGUAAUAAAUGGGUCAGUGGUUUUAACUCUCUGGCUAAGAAUCAUAACAAUUGAUAGGGCAAUAGCACUGAUUAGUAGUUAUCAACGGAUAUGUGAUUUUUAGGUCAAUUCUCAGGUCAGCUGGGUCAGUUGUAAGUCCAAUACUUAUUUUAUUAAGGGGAAAAUAAGCAAAUAUUAACAUCAAUCAAUAAAUACCAACUGACAGAGCAAAUGGAAGGUAGAAUGGAAGAACUAAUGAUCCAAAGUCUCAAAUUGUGUCUUCUGCUCUUCCUUGGAAUCCUCAGAACAGUCACUUCCUGCACUGAUCCUGCCAUGGCCACUGCUCCUGCCAUGGCCACUGCUCUGUGGUCGUUUUAAGGAACAUACAGACAAAUUAUGAACACACUCAAGCCAACAACGAUUCUGUAAUGAUGAAGAUGGUUCAGUGAUGGACAGAUCAGAGCUGAUUUAAUUAUUCCCUGUGAUGAGGAACUUCAGCCCUCUGACUAAGGAGAAUGUCUUGCAAUCUCCGCAGAGCUGGGGACCACACUCCUCUCCUUCACUGCUCUGCCCCUUGUGCCUGACAUGGAGAGCACAUGCAGUAAUCAUCUGUUGAAUAAAUAGGUGAAUACAUGGUGAAUAAAAGAAUGGAGGAGGGAAGCAGUACAUGAACAAGUGAGUCUUGGAGUAAAUAAAGGAAUGGAUAAGUGAAGUAAUGAAAAUGUGAAGGAGUACACAGUGAGUGAAUGGAUCAGCAAUGGGUGCAUAAAUAACUGAAUCAGUGAUUAGUGGAUAAAUGCAUGGUGAGUUAAUGAGUGGAUGAGUUCAUGUGCAAGAAAAAAUGUCACAAAGCGAAUGAGUGGAUGAUGAAAGACUAAGUCAGUGAGUGAAUGAAUGGAAGACUCGUAAGUCAAGGAAUCAAGAAAUGAAAGACCAAUGUGUAAAUGGGUGAGUGAAUCAGUGGAUCCAUGGAUUCCUGAAUGAAUUGAUGAAUUAACAGAUAAAUGAAAGUCAAUUAGCAAUGAGGAAAUAAAUGAAUGGGUGAGCCAAUGUAUGAACCAAUCAAUGAGUUAAUGACUCAAUGAAGAACCAAAUGAAUGAAUUAGUAAGUCUAGGAAUGAGUGAGUUUACAAAUGAAUACAUUAAAGAAAGAGGAAACAAUUGAAUAAAUGAACUGGGUAAAUAAAUGAGUCAGUGAAUGAAACAAAUUACUGAGUGAAUAAAUAGAGGGAUAGAUGAGUGUUGGAUAUAUUACAGUUAAUGAAUAAAAAAGUGAAUUAGUGAGGGAGCAAAUGAGUCAGUGAAUGAGUAUGUAAUCAAGGAAUAAAUUAGCUAUGGGAAUGAGUAAGUGAAUAAGUGAAUGAGUCAAUAAAUUAGUGAAUUAGCUUAUUCAAGUGUGAGGCAGUGAAUGAGUGAACUCAUACUAGGACUGUUUCCCCGACUGUUCCACAGAGAGUAGUCAUGUCCCGACUUCAUGCCGUGGCAUAAAUAACUCAAUCAGAGCACCCACCCUCCAUUGUGGGCGUUUGUUUACAUGUCAUCAUUAAACUGAUGUGCCGCAGGGGCCAGGAACUGGGUCAAAUUAUUCUCUGUAUCCCUGGUGCCUGCCAACUCUGUGCCUCGGAAGCACCCAGUAAAUUGUUGCUGAGUGAAUGAACGAAUAACUAAAAAUACACGUGCUUAUUUGGAACCAGGACGGCCCGUCUGAGAAUGGCCUGGGAGCUGUUCUUUGGGGAAGUGUGCUGUGUGUCAGAUGGUUUGUGGCAUCCUCCUACACAAGUCCAGAUUCUGCCUUGAGUCCAGCUUCCUGUGUCCAGUGCCAGACAGUGAGACAGGAUACUGGCAUUUCGGACUUCCCUGGACAUUGGCCCAUCCUUGGGCAACGCUGGCUUGGCAUGGUGGAAUCGAGGCCCCAGGUCUUCCCGAAAGCUGCCCUUGCCUCUGCCAAGACAGGAGAUCAAAAAUAACCCAGUCUUGUUUUUAUGGCUCCAGUGAGUGGGCCCACUCCAUGCCUUUCCAAGCAGACCACAUUCCUCCUUGCUGUGGUUGUGGGACUGUGGGUAGGAGUACCCCUUGACUUUCAGCCUCAGCUUCGUCUGGUAGACGAGAAUAACAAUACCGGCCGGCCUGAGUGGAUGUGUUGUUUCACAGGACCUUAUUUAAUACAUGUCACAUACAUAGCAUGGUACUUGGGAGGAAAUAGAUGCCUCAGAGAUCUUAGGUGCCAACUUUCUUCAUCCUCACCCAAAGUAGUUAUAUUUUAUGAUUUCAAAUGCAUUAAUUUCAAAGCUCUCAAAUGGAUGUGAUACUCAAAUUCCCCUCUUCCAGAAGAUUGGAGAGUUCCACUAAGUAAUAGGAAGAAUGCCGGCCUGGAUGGUAUUCCAGGCCAGUCCCGACCUUCAAGACGGCAUGGCAUGCUCUUCUACCAGGAAACAGACAGCCAGAAAACAAGGACAGCCUGGGUGAGUCAGCUCCUGGGCUGAGAUUUGUGUGGAAGGAACUCUACUGCUAUGAGCAAGGCAGCGGCCAUGCAAAGCACAGCUCCUGAAUCCAGGAUCGGGUCAUAGCCAGUGGCUAUCAGGGCCUCAGAAGGAAGAGCCAGCGGGAAACACCAGGCCCCCGGGACUGUAUGGGACAUUGGCCCGGCACAGGGAGGAGAACAAGUGGAUGUCCUCCUGCCUGGAGCCUAUGAAGGUGCAGUGGCUGAGCUACGCUUCCAGAGGAUGACGGUGAUGGGCUCAGCGUCUGUGUUGCUGGGUGAGCUGCUUUUCCUGGUUACGCUCUGAAAUACUUGUGUACCUGUGACUAAGGGCCAAACUCGGGCUAGAUGAUAGGCAGUCAAAGAUGGGCUUUGUGACAGGCUGGAGCGCCUGUGAUGGCCUCAGAGAGGGGCCAGAAUGCAUGUGCUUCUCACCAAGAACAUUCGCAAGCAGCGGCUGGGUCAUUGCUCACAGCUGCUUCUCUGCGUGGAGGGCAGGGCUGGCUAGAGACUUCCCUUAUCUCUGGUCCCACCUAAGUGGCAGGAGGCGUGUUGACUUUGCAGCUGACCAGAUGCCAGCUUGAGAUGGGGCUCAGGGUGACGUUCACACUCCUGCCCGAAGGCUCUUUUAAAAAUUAUGUAGCUAAUUGCAUUCCAUUAAUUCAUUACCGUAAUGGAGAGCGCGAUAAGCAGGGAUCACGUACGUUUUCCCCAUAAAACAACCUCAGCUAAUGGCUAACAUUUAUUGCACGUAAUUUUUAAAAAUAUUUCUCCCAUUAAAAAAGCAAUACAUGUUUAUUAUAAAAAGCUUGAACAAUAUUGAAAUAUUGGACAAGUGUAAGAGCAAGAAUCUCCCUAGUUCCUCCACUCAGAGAUCACCAUUGCCAACAUAUUGGUGGCCAGCCUCUGCCUUUUGCUUUCUUCUAUAAAUUAGGUGUGUAUGUGGCUGUACGUGCUUAAUUGAGUUCAUCAUUGCCAUCCUGUUUUUUAUUUCCACUAAUUAUAUAUCCUGAACAUUUCCCAUGCCAUUAAGCAAUUUCUUAUCUUGUGCUUUUUAAUGGUUACAUAGGAUUCUAGCAAAUGGCUAUAUUGUAAUUAAUUUAAUUGGUUUGCUUUUAUUGAGUAUUUAGAUCCAUUUAGAAGUUGGAUUGUGUAAGUUGGGGCAGACAUCUGUUUAUUCAUUGUCACGUCCAUGUCUGAUUCAUCUUCUGCAGUUCAUUCUAAAUGUGAAAUGUCGUGUCAAAAGCUGUGAGCGUUUUAUGGCCAAAUUGCCCUCUUAACACUUGUAUCAACUGACAUUCUCAGAAUUAGUUUAAAAGUACCUGUUUUUCUGGGAAUUAUCGAGGUUGAUUACCUUUGUCAAUUUGUCAAAACACAGCAUUUUGUUCUUUUCGUUGGCAAUCAUUUUAUUACCUGUGAUAAAGAACAUUUCUCCCUAUCUUUUUUGGUUAUCUGUAUUUGAAUUGCCAGUUCAGGUUCUUUUCAUUUUUCAUUUAGUUUUUAUUUUCAUCAAAGACAUGCAUAUGCAUCGUUUUAAGAGUCAAAGAGUUCUACAGGAUCCUUGCAGAGCAUCAGGAUCAGGCCUCCAGCCCUCCCAGCUCCACCCUAAUUUCUGCUUAGUGGAACCAAUAGUUUCUAACUCCUUUCACUGGUUCUCUUGACAUUUACAUUUGUAUAUCUAAGUCACAUUGUUUUUCUCUUCUACUUCUUGAUUUUCUUUUUCUUUUUUGAGGCGUAGGCAUUAUCUUGACUUUGCGACUGUAGAAGAUGAGGAUUUGACUCCUUGGUCUCACUGUGCCCCCCUUUCUUCUUUCUGUGCACCAUCCUCAAUAUAUUUAGUACGUAGUUCGGGUUUGAUCCAAAUUCAGAGUUCACCUUUUCAUGAGAGUGUAAGCACUGCUGAAAUCUGAGCAACAUAGCACUAUGAUUCACCUUUCCUUCGUGACUAUUUUUUCUUCGGGAGUUAAUAAUUACCUUCUAUUUUUUUCUCUUUGAUUGGUUGGUUAGUUUUUUUACAAGCCUAGCUGAUUUAUUACUAGCCUUUCAAUAUAUACACAUUAUUUUUAAUUUUUUAAAAAUGUGUUUUAUCCUAUCUAGAAAUAUCUUCCUAGAGCCUCCUGGCUGGUUUUGUUAUAAACUGGGUAAUCUUUAGGCUUCUGGACACCAUCUUAGUAUCUCUUUGACAUUCUCCUUCUGAGGAUUCCUUUGAGCCUCUCUCCUUAGCUGGAUUUUGUAGAUUACCUGCUUUUGUAGAUUCUGUGUUAUCAUCCUUUUUGGCUUACUCCCUUGUUUUGCUAGAGUGCAUCCUCUAGCAGUUUCUGUAGAAAUGCUUAAUGGAAGGUAAAUUUUUAGAGACCUUUCGCCUCUAAAAAGGAAAAUGUCUAGUCCACAUUGACAUUGAAAGUUUGGCUGGGUAUAGAAUUUGAAGUUGGAAACCUUCUUUUAUUUUGGCUCAGAUUUUGAAAGCAUAAAUCAUUAUCUUGUGACUUUCAAUGCUGUUGGCGAGAGGUCUUAAGUCUUAGUGAUUCCUCAUCCCUUCUAUGUAAUUUGUUUUCUUCCUUUCUGGAACUUGUAGAACUUUCUCAUUGUCUUCCAAUGUUUUAAAAUUUCACAUGUUUUUGUCUUGAUGUAGAUCUAUGUUUAUCCAUUUUUCCAGGUUCUUUUAAUCCGAAGACACUUGUCCUUCAGUUCUAGAAACUUGUGUUAAACAACUGGUUGGAUCAUUUCCUCAUAUUUGUUUUCUCUUCCUGCCGUUUUUUUUUUCUUUUUCUUUUUCUUUUUCUUUUUUUUUUUUUUUUUGAG
This is a long non-coding RNA of Sapajus apella (tufted capuchin), 9066 nucleotides long. RefSeq lists it as uncharacterized. Lineage: Eukaryota; Metazoa; Chordata; Mammalia; Primates; Cebidae. The transcript is spliced from 12 exons. The record is from RefSeq and is a predicted model, not a curated record.